GACGAACGCUGGCGGCGUGCUUAACACAUGCAAGUCGAACGGCAAGGCCCUGCUUUUGUGGGGUGCUCGAGUGCCGAACGGGUGAGUAACACGAGAGUAACCUGCCCUUGACUUUGGUAUAACUUCAGGAAACUGAGGCUACUACCGGAUAGCAGCUCCUGCUGCAUGGUGGGGGGUGGAAAGUUUCGGCGGUUGGGGAUGGACUCGCGGCUUAUCAGCUUGUUGGUGGGGUAGUGGCUUACCGAGGCUUUGACGGGUAGCCGGCCUGAGUGGGUGACCGGCGACAAUGGGACUGCGGGACGGCCCAGUCGCCUACGGGAGGCAGCAGGGGGGAAUAUUGCACAGUGGGCGGAAGCCUGAUGCAGCAACGCCGCGUGCGGGAUGACGUCCUUCGGGGUGUAAACCGCUUUCGCCUGAGACGAAGCGUGAGUGACGGUAAUGGGUAAAGAAGCACCGGCUAACUACGUG
This 468-nucleotide ribosomal RNA is filed under the name uncultured bacterium. Its description in RNAcentral is "partial 16S ribosomal RNA". It matches the Rfam family "Bacterial small subunit ribosomal RNA", at positions 28 to 507 of the family's 1533-position model. The record is from RNAcentral.